AACCAGAAGGCGCAAUGAGAGUGAAGGCACGUUCGGCGUGCUGAGGUGAGAGCUGUCGGUGGCAGCGCAUCAUCGACCGAUCCCAUCCGCUCCCCACGGUGCGGAGGGAAUCGAGUAAGAGUGUACCUGUUGCGACCCGAAAGAUGGUGAACUAUGCCUGAAUAGGGUGAAGCCAGAGGAAACUCUGGUGGAGGCCCGUAGCGAUUCUGACGUGCAAAUCGAUCGUCAAAUUUGGGUAUAGGGGCGAAAGACUAAUCGAACCAUCUA
This 267-nucleotide ribosomal RNA is filed under the name Hyrtios reticulatus. Its description in RNAcentral is "partial large ribosomal RNA subunit". It matches the Rfam family "Eukaryotic large subunit ribosomal RNA", at positions 705 to 946 of the family's 3401-position model. Lineage: Eukaryota; Metazoa; Porifera; Demospongiae; Dictyoceratida; Thorectidae. The record is from RNAcentral.